RNAcentral lists this ribosomal RNA (465 nucleotides) under uncultured bacterium. RNAcentral describes it as "partial 16S ribosomal RNA". It matches the Rfam family "Bacterial small subunit ribosomal RNA", at positions 338 to 795 of the family's 1533-position model. The record is from RNAcentral.
CCUACGGGCGGCUGCAGUCGAGAAUCAUUCACAAUGGGGGAAACCCUGAUGGUGCGACGCCGCGUGAGGGAUGAAGGUCUUCGGAUCGUAAACCUCUGUCAGCAGGGAAGAACGUUCACUGUGCUAAUCAGCAGUCACUUGCCGGUACCUGCACAGCAACCACCGUCUAACUCCGUGCCAGCAGCCGCGGUAAUACGGAGGGUGCGAGCGUUAAUCGGAAUGACUGGGCGUAAAGCGCUCGUAGGCGUUAUAGCAAGUCAAGGGUGAAAUCCCAGCGCUCAACUAGAGAACUGCAUUUGAAACUGGUAAUCUAGAGUGUGGGAGAGGAAGGUGGAAUUCUAGGUGUAGGAGUAAAAUCCGUAGAGAUCUAGAGGAACACUAAUGGCGAAGGCGACCUGCUAGAACAUAACUGACGCUGAGGAGCGAAAGCGUGGGGAGCAAACAGGAUUAGAUACCCGUGUAGUC